This 67-nucleotide transfer RNA is filed under the name Loxodonta africana (African savanna elephant). It matches the Rfam family "tRNA". From Rfam's summary of the family: Transfer RNA (tRNA) molecules are approximately 80 nucleotides in length. Their secondary structure includes four short double-helical elements and three loops (D, anti-codon, and T loops). Lineage: Eukaryota; Metazoa; Chordata; Mammalia; Proboscidea; Elephantidae. The record is from Rfam by way of RNAcentral.
GGUGGCUUAGUGCUUAAGAGUUUGGCUGCUAUCCAAAAGGUUGGCAGUUCGAAUCUACCAGCCACUC